RNAcentral lists this ribosomal RNA (249 nucleotides) under uncultured Pelotomaculum sp. RNAcentral's name for it is "partial 16S ribosomal RNA". It matches the Rfam family "Bacterial small subunit ribosomal RNA", at positions 1133 to 1382 of the family's 1533-position model. Lineage: Bacteria; Bacillati; Bacillota; Clostridia; Eubacteriales; Desulfotomaculaceae. The record is from RNAcentral.
GAGCACUCUAGACGAACUGCCGUUGACAAAACGGAGGAAGGUGGGGAUGACGUCAAAUCAUCAUGCCCUUAUGUUCUGGGCUACACACGUGCUACAAUGGCCGGUACAGACGGAGGCGAAGCCGCGAGGCGGAGCAAAUCCGAAAAAGCCGGUCUCAGUUCGGAUUGCAGGCUGCAAUUCGCCUGCAUGAAGUCGGAAUCGCUAGUAAUCGCAGGUCAGCAUACUGCGGUGAAUACGUUCCCGGGCCUU